UUUUUUUUGUAAAAGUUCUUUAUUGAAUAAAUUUAGAAAGAUAUCAAAACAAUUUCAAUGAUUAUAUAUGUGGCUUUAUUGAAAGUAUUUUUGUUAAGCAUGGAUUAUCACCCCUCAGAAAUUUAUCAAAUACCAAUCCCUUAUGGCAUUUAUUUUACCUUCUCUCUCUGAAAAAUAUACAUGGGGCCUACUAAUUUUUUUUAUCAUCUCUGUCUUCCAUUUUUUUUAUUCAAAUAUGGUAAUCUUACAUGGGAUAUUCAUUUUCCCACGCCAGAUUACCUCCAACCAAAUGGAUCCUAAUGAUAAUGUUUGUCUCAAUUGUCAUGGGACAUCCUC
RNAcentral lists this long non-coding RNA (336 nucleotides) under Elaeis guineensis (African oil palm). Its description in RNAcentral is "long non-coding RNA (EGUI_LNC014054)". Lineage: Eukaryota; Viridiplantae; Streptophyta; Magnoliopsida; Arecales; Arecaceae. The record is from RNAcentral.